This 28-nucleotide non-coding RNA is filed under the name Homo sapiens (human). The record is from RNAcentral. Lineage: Eukaryota; Metazoa; Chordata; Mammalia; Primates; Hominidae.
UGAGGAUCAUGGAGAUGACAAGACUUGC